GGCCGCGUAGCUCAAUUUGGUAGAGCAGCUGACUCUUAAUCAGCGGGUUGGGGGUUCGAGUCCCUCCGCGGUCA
RNAcentral lists this transfer RNA (74 nucleotides) under Ardenticatenia bacterium. Its description in RNAcentral is "tRNA-Lys". It matches the Rfam family "tRNA". From Rfam's summary of the family: Transfer RNA (tRNA) molecules are approximately 80 nucleotides in length. The record is from RNAcentral. Lineage: Bacteria; Bacillati; Chloroflexota; Ardenticatenia.